CGCGGCCUAUCAGCUUGUUGGUGAGGUAAAGGCUCACCAAGGCAAUGACGGGUAGCUGACGUGAGAGCGUGAUCAGCCACACUGGGACUGAGACACGGCCCAGGCUCCUACGGGAGGCAGCAGUGGGGAAUCUUGCACAAUGGGUGAAAACCCGAUGCAGCGACGCCGCGUGGGGGAGGAAGGCCCUAGGGCUGUAAACCCCUGUCAGGUGGGAAGAGCAGGAGGUCGGCCAACAGCCGCCCUCUCCGACGGUACCACCAGAGGAAGCUCCGGCUAACUCCGUGCCAGCAGCCGCGGUAAAACGGAGGGAGCGAGCGUUGUCCGGAAUCACUGGGCGUAAAGAGCGCGUAGGCGGCCGUGUGAGUCGCAUGUGAAAGGCCGGGGCUUAACCCCGCGUAUUGCAUGCGAUACUGCACGGCUAGAGAAAGGCAGGGGUGAGCGGAAUUCCCGGUGUAGCGGUGGAAUGCGUAGAUAUCGGGAGGAACACCAGUGGCGAAGGCGGCUCGCUAGGCCUAUUCUGACGCUGAAGCGCGAAAGCGUGGGGAGCAAACAGGAUUAGAUACCCUGUAGUCCACGCCGUAAACGCUGGGCACUAGACGUCGGGGGGCUUGGCCCCCUCGGUGUCGCAGUUAACGCAUUAAGUGCCCCGCCUGGGGAGUACGG
This 663-nucleotide ribosomal RNA is filed under the name uncultured Actinomycetes bacterium. Its description in RNAcentral is "bacterial SSU rRNA". It matches the Rfam family "Bacterial small subunit ribosomal RNA", at positions 232 to 885 of the family's 1533-position model. The record is from RNAcentral. Lineage: Bacteria; Bacillati; Actinomycetota; Actinomycetes.